UGGGAACUUGACAUUGUAGUAAGUUUGCCAUAUCAAACUUCAAGUUCUUAUGCCUUGGAAUAUGGCAAGAGGAGACUUUCUCAGGGAGGUGUUGCUAUGCUUCAAAUACUUUUUUUUAACAAGGGUAGGUCUCUAAUCUUCAUCUUAGAAAACUUCUGUUGUGGAUGGUAAUUACAAAAAGGAAGGGAAGGAAUGCAGUGGAAUGGAAAACUGAAAGCUAAUCUGUUUAAAUAUGAGCAAGUUACAGGUGCUCAGGCAAUGCUGAGCACAGCAUUGUUACAGUGAGGGUGAAAAUCUGGACUCAGCUCUCAAGAGGUGACAAGUGCAAUCUCUAAAGUACACAGAUAUACCACAGAAUGAUAUGGCAUUUGAUAUGAGGUAUUUUUUCCAUUGGUAUUGUAGGGUGAAGAAGGCUUUCCUGGCUUUCCUGGACUGAAAGGGGAUAAAGGAGAAAAAGGAUCCCUGGGCUCACCUGGCCCCCCUGGGAGGGAUGGAGCAAAAGGAGAAGCCGGUGAACCAGGACAGCCAGGAGUAUUUGGACUGCCUGGGCCAGCAGGUCCAAAGAGCUUUUACAAACCAAGCUAAACUGAGGCACCUACAUCUUCCUCAAGAUGGACUUGAUCCUGCUCCCUAUUGCCCACCAGGUUCUUCAGGAAUGUGCAAUUCAGCCAAUUACUCAGGCAGUGCUGAAUAGAAGGAGUUGAGAUCUUCAGGGCAGGUGGGGCUGGACCUAAAGACAUCUGACUGGACAGUGCCAGGUGCUCUCAGGGAAGACAUGAGCUUGGCCAACCCCAGCCUCUCAUAGUGCCUAAAUAAAAAAUUAUUGUGUGUUUUCA
Molecule: long non-coding RNA, 836 nt
Filed under: Cyanistes caeruleus (blue tit)
Lineage: Eukaryota; Metazoa; Chordata; Aves; Passeriformes; Paridae
Description: lncRNA (ENSCCEG00000012581.1)
Source: RNAcentral